GCGGUAGAGGAGCGUCGUGUACGCCGAUGAAGGUGGAUCGAGAGGUCUGCUGGAGGUAUCACGAGUGCGAAUGCUGACAUGAGUAACGACAAGGGGCGUGAAAAACGCCCCCGCCGGAAGACCAAGGGUUUCUGUUCGACGCUAAUCGGAGCAGAGUGAGUCGGCCCCUAAGGCGAGGCCGAAAGGCGUAGUCGAUGGGAAACGGGUCAAUAUUCCCGUACCUCACUGUAUUGCGAUGGGGGGACGAAGAAGGCUAGGUGAGCCAGGCGUUGGUAGUCCUGGUGAAAGUCAGUAGGCUGGGGAAUCAGGCAAAUCCGGUUCCCCAAGGCCGAGAGACGAGACGAACAGCCCACGGGCUGGAAGUCAUCGAUGCCACGCUUCCAGGAAAAGCCUCUAAGCUUCAGAUACAGUGGGACCGUACCCCAAACCGACACAGGUGGUCAGGUAGAGAAUACCCAGGCGCUUGAGAGAACUCGGGUGAAGGAACUAGGCAAAAUGGUGCCGUAACUUCGGGAGAAGGCACGCCGGACUAGGGUGACGGGCCUCGCGCCCCGAGCCUGAACCGGUCGAAGAUACCAGGUGGCUGCAACUGUUUAUUAAAAACACAGCACUCUGCAAACGCGCAAGCGGACGUAUAGGGUGUGACGCCUGCCCGGUGCCGGAAGGUUAAGUGAUGGUGUUAGCGCAAGCGAAGCUCCUGAUCGAAGCCCCGGUAAACGGCGGCCGUAACUAUAACGGUCCUAAGGUAGCGAAAUUCCUUGUCGGGUAAGUUCCGACCUGCACGAAUGGCGUAAUGAUGGCCACGCUGUCUCCACCCGAGACUCAGUGAAAUUGAAAUCGCAGUGAAGAUGCUGUGUACCCGCGGCUAGACGGAAAGACCCCGUGAACCUUUACUAUAGCUUCACACUGGACGCUGAUGUUGCUUGUGUAGGAUAGCUGGGAGGCUUGGAAACCCGGACGCCAGUUCGGGUGGAGCCAACCUUGAAAUACCAGCCUGGCAUCAUUGGCGUUCUAACUCAGAUCCGUGAUCCGGAUCGAGGACCGUGUGUGGUGGGUAGUUUGACUGGGGCGGUCUCCUCCCAAAGCGUAACGGAGGAGCACGAAGGUACCCUCAGCACGGUUGGAAAUCGUGCAUUGAGUGCAAGAGCAUAAGGGUGCUUAACUGCGAGACAGACACGUCGAGCAGGUACGAAAGUAGGUUCUAGUGAUCCGGUGGUUCUGUAUGGAAGGGCCAUCGCUCAACGGAUAAAAGGUACUCCGGGGAUAACAGGCUGAUACCGCCCAAGAGUUCACAUCGACGGCGGUGUUUGGCACCUCGAUGUCGGCUCAUCACAUCCUGGGGCUGAAGUCGGUCCCAAGGGUAUGGCUGUUCGCCAUUUAAAGUGGUACGCGAGCUGGGUUUAGAACGUCGUGAGACAGUUCGGUCCCUAUCUGCCGUGGGCGUUGGAUGUUUGAGAAGGGCUGCUCCUAGUACGAGAGGACCGGAGUGGACGCACCUCUGGUGUUCCGGUUGUCACGCCAGUGGCAUUGCCGGGUAGCUAUGUGCGGACGGGAUAACCGCUGAAAGCAUCUAAGCGGGAAGCCCCCUUCAAGAUGAGACAUCCCCGAGGCCUCGAGCCUCCUGAAGGGCCCAGCGAGACCAGCUGGUUGAUAGGCCGGGUGUGGAAGCGCUGCAAGGCGUUGAGCUAACCGGUACUAAUGGCCCGUGAGGCUUGACCAU
Molecule: ribosomal RNA, 1720 nt
Filed under: Halomonas daqiaonensis
Lineage: Bacteria; Pseudomonadati; Pseudomonadota; Gammaproteobacteria; Oceanospirillales; Halomonadaceae
Description: bacterial LSU rRNA
Rfam family: Bacterial large subunit ribosomal RNA
Source: RNAcentral